Molecule: ribosomal RNA, 490 nt
Filed under: uncultured bacterium
Lineage: Bacteria
Description: partial 16S ribosomal RNA
Rfam family: Bacterial small subunit ribosomal RNA
Source: RNAcentral
GUGAACGCUGGCGGUAGGCCUAACCCAUGCCAGUCGAACGGCAGCACAGUAAGAGCUUGCUCUUACGGGUGGCGAGUGGCGGACGGGUGAGGAAUACAUCGGAAUCUACUUUUUCGUGGGGGAUAACGUAGGGAAACUUACGCUAAUACCGCAUACGACCUACGGGUGAAAGCAGGGGAUCUUCGGACCUUGCGCGAUUGAAUGAGCCGAUGUCGGAUUAGCUAGUUGGCGGGGUAAAGGCCCACCAAGGCGACGAUCCGUAGCUGGUCUGAGAGGAUGAUCAGCCACACUGGAACUGAGACACGGUCCAGACUCCUACGGGAGGCAGCAGUGGGGAAUAUUGGACAAUGGGCGCAAGCCUGAUCCAGCCAUACCGCGUGGGUGAAGAAGGCCUUCGGGUUGUAAAGCCCUUUUGUUGGGAAAGAAAAGCAGCAGGUUAAUACCCCGCUGUUCGGACGGUACCCAAAGAAUAAGCACCGGCUAACUUCGU